Molecule: long non-coding RNA, 1043 nt
Filed under: Homo sapiens (human)
Lineage: Eukaryota; Metazoa; Chordata; Mammalia; Primates; Hominidae
Description: HSALNT0380377
Source: RNAcentral
GCCACUGACUACACGAUGAUGGGAGGAUGGACGCCGCCUUCAGGAGCUGGAGGAGCAGAAGACGUGAACAAAGAGAAACAUAAUUGAGGUGGAAGGAUCCAGAAGAAAGGAACCAGUGAUGAUGAGGACAGAGGGCUCUCCACGGGAAGGUGGGAGAGAAUUUAGUUCUCUGUGCCGUGAAGAUGGGAUUGGAGCCAUACAUAUUGCCACCAGUUCACUGAGAGGAGUCAUUGAAAACAUGGCAUUGAGGACAGAGACUGCCACUUCAGAAUUUUCUACAUCCAACUGCUGAAGCCACUCGAAGAUAUUUCCCUCAGAGAACCAUAACCAGCUUUGGAGAAGAUGCUUCCACAUAGCUUGUUUCACAGCAUCUCAUCUCUCAUUAAAACCUUGUUGAGGGAGCAUUACUGUCUGAGCAAUGGACAUAGCUCUCAUACGAACCUUUUCAGCUAACACCGGAUAAGCCAGCUUUCUGACAGCCUCUUUCACAUCCUUGGUGCACCCUACAAUUUUUGGCAAAGUCUUUGCUGAUGGUGCAAUACAUGAUAACACUGCCUGUCUAAGUUCUGGAUUCAAAUCAAUCAUUUUCGAUCAAAGUAGCAUAUGCAUUAACCACUGGGCAUUCAUCAUCCUUUGGAUCCUGAAGUCGUGAAAGCGCCAGAACUGCCUGUAUUCUCACAUUUGGAAUCUUAUCUUUCAGUCUAAUAAGCAUGGCUUCAUUAAUUUUGUCAAACACACCAUCAUCAAUCUGAGCUUCUUCUGGCAUACUUCUCAAAAGCUUGUUUAUGCAGCUCCUGGUUCUUGAACUAACGUAGGCAUCAGCACAGCUGAUUCUCAUUCAGGAGAAGACAGUGCUGUGCCCAGGGGCCCCUGAGCCAUUGCCCAGCUUUCCAGCUUUCCAGGAAGUCUGCACUGGAGAAGCAUUCAACCUCCUCUGAGCUAACAUUUUCAUGUGCACACGUGAUUAUGAGUGUGAUACAGACAUUAUUUUACUUGUGUAACUAAUUUUUAAAUCAGACUAAUAAAAAAAGUUAUCAGUCUAA